CGGACGGGUGAGUAAUGUAUGGGGAUCUGCCUGAUGGCGGGGGAUAACUACUGGAAACGGUAGCUAAUACCGCAUAAUGUCUGCGGACCAAAGCGGGGGACCUCCGGGCCUCGCGCCAUCAGAUGAACCCAUAUGGGAUUAGCUUGUAGGUAAGGUAACGGCUUACCUAGGCGACGAUCCCUAGCCGGUCUGAGAGGAUGAUCAGCCACACUGGGACUGAGACACGGCCCAG
RNAcentral lists this ribosomal RNA (232 nucleotides) under uncultured bacterium. RNAcentral's name for it is "partial 16S ribosomal RNA". It matches the Rfam family "Bacterial small subunit ribosomal RNA", at positions 99 to 334 of the family's 1533-position model. The record is from RNAcentral.